UACAGAGGUCUCAAGCGUUGUUCGGAUUCAUUGGGCGUAAAGGGCGCGUAGGCUGCGGGGCAAGUCGGGUGUGAAAUCUCAGAGCUCAACUCUGAAACUGCACUCGAUACUGCUUUGCUUGAGGACUGGAGAGGAGAUUGGAAUUCACGGUGUAGCAGUGAAAUGCGUAGAUAUCGUGAGGAAGACCAGUGGCGAAGGCGGAUCUCUGGACAGUUCCUGACACUGAGACGCGAAGGCCAGGGGAGCAAACGGG
This 253-nucleotide ribosomal RNA is filed under the name uncultured bacterium. RNAcentral describes it as "partial 16S ribosomal RNA". It matches the Rfam family "Bacterial small subunit ribosomal RNA", at positions 524 to 776 of the family's 1533-position model. The record is from RNAcentral.